Molecule: ribosomal RNA, 397 nt
Filed under: uncultured bacterium
Lineage: Bacteria
Description: bacterial SSU rRNA
Rfam family: Bacterial small subunit ribosomal RNA
Source: RNAcentral
GAAUUUUGGGCAAUGGCCGAAAGGCUGACCCAGCAACGCCGCGUGGGUGAAGAAGGCCUUCGGGUCGUAAAGCCCUUUUCCGGGGGACGAUAAUGACGGUACCCCGGGAAUAAGCCCCGGCUAACUACGUGCCAGCAGCCGCGGUAAUACGUAGGGGGCGAGCGUUGCCCGGAUUUAUUGGGCGUAAAGCGCGCGCGGGCGGCCUGACAGGUCCCCUGUGAAAUCUUCGGGCUCAACCCGGAGGGGUCAGGGGAUACCGGCGGGCUAGGGCCUGGGAGGGGGAAGCGGAAUUCCCGGUGUAGUGGUGGAAUGCGUAGAUAUCGGGAGGAACACCAGUGGCGAAGGCGGCUUCCUGGACCAGUGCCGACGCUGAGGCGCGAAAGCGUGGGGAGCGAAC